GACGAACGCUGGCGGCGUGCUUAACACAUGCAAGUCGAACGGAAAGGCCCUGCUUUUGUGGGGUGCUCGAGUGGCGAACGGGUGAGUAACACGUGAGUAACCUGCCCUUGACUUUGGGAUAACUUCAGGAAACUGGGGCUAAUACCGGAUAUGAGCUCCUGCUGCAUGGUGGGGGUUGGAAAGUUUCGGCGGUUGGGGAUGGACUCGCGGCUUAUCAGCUUGUUGGUGGGGUAGUGGCUUACCAAGGCUUUGACGGGUAGCCGGCCUGAGAGGGUGACAGGCCACAUUGGGACUGAGAUACGGCACAGACUCCUACGGGAGGCAGCAGUGGGGAAUAUUGCACAAUGGGCGGAAGCCUGAUGCAGCAACGCCGCGUGCGGGAUGACGGCCUUCGGGGUGUAAACCGCUUUCGCCUGUGACGAAGCGUGAGUGACGGUAAUGGGUAAAGAAGCACCGGCUAACUACGUG
Molecule: ribosomal RNA, 468 nt
Filed under: uncultured bacterium
Lineage: Bacteria
Description: partial 16S ribosomal RNA
Rfam family: Bacterial small subunit ribosomal RNA
Source: RNAcentral